Long non-coding RNA from Bubalus bubalis (water buffalo), 3218 nucleotides. RefSeq lists it as uncharacterized. Lineage: Eukaryota; Metazoa; Chordata; Mammalia; Artiodactyla; Bovidae. The transcript is spliced from 2 exons. The record is from RefSeq and is a predicted model, not a curated record.
CUAAAUUCCAUAUUUCACGGAGGUAAAUUUGUGCCAAGAUUUUCAUGUGUGAAUAUAGGGAAUUCCAUAUUUCAUACAGGGGAACUACAUGCAUAUUUUCCUGUGAAUUAUACAGUUCCAUUAUUUCACACAGGAAAAUUUUGCCCACAUAUGUAUUUAUGACAUAGAGAGAAUUCUGUAUUAAUGUAUUAAAAUUACCCUUGGAUUCUAUUAUAAGAAAUACAGAAAAUUCCAUAUAUCAUGUGGGAAAACUGGCAUCCAGAUUAUCUUGUGUUAAACAUAGAGAAUUCCAUAUUCCAUGUAGGAAAAUCAGCACCAGAGUUUAAUACGUGAAAUAGGAGAAUUACGUAUUUCACAUCUGAAAGUCUGCACCCAGAUUAUCACAUACAAACUAUAGAAAAUUUGAUUAUUCAUACACAUAAAAUACUACAUAUUUUGAACAGGAAAUAUACUAGUGGUAAAGAAGCUGCCUACUAAUGCGGGAGAGACAAGAGAGGCGGGUUCAAUCCCGAGGAUGGAAAUAUCCUCUGGAAAGGGAAAUGACAAUCCACUCCAGUAUGCGUGCUUGGGAGAAUCCCUGUGGUCAGAUAGGCCCUGCAGGUUACUGUCCAUGGACUUGCAGAGAGUUGGACAGACAGAGCACACACAUGCACAUGCUAUAGUCAAUGAAUGAGUUAUAGAAAAUAGAAUACUUCACAUAAGAAAAUCAGCUUCCAGGUUUUCAUAUAUGAAGUAAUGAAAUUCAAUCUUAUGUAUAUGAAAAUACACCCAAACAUUCAUAUAUAAUAUUGUAUAUUUCAAAUUUUAUACAUGAAUGCUAGGCAAUUAAUGUAGGCAGCAUAACAAUGAUUUCUGGCACUUUGGGACAUCAAGAAGGAAGGAAAAAGUUGCCCACCUGGAAAUUAGUAACGCUGUACAUACAGCAAAUACCUUAGAAGGUCAUUUCUCUCCAAUUGUGCCAGUGUGUGCCACACUCAGGAAGGGAGGGUCCUGGCUGUUGGGCUGUUUCUAGGCAGCACUGGCCAAGGACAUUCACCUGUUUCCCUCGCAUGUGUGGAACAAGUCUCCAAUGCAGCAGGCUUUCUUUCUGGGCCUCCUCCUCCCAGUCUCUGCCUUUCUCCAAAGGAAAUUGGCCUCUUCACAAUCCCAGGUCCUGUCCUAGCCACAUCCUCCAUUCUACAAUCCAGCCCAUGUCCCACAGACUGAGGGGUCCAAAAGCAGUGGUUUUAAAAGCCCCACCCCACUUGACUUACUCCAGGUGACUCCUCAAACCCUUCAUACCCACUUCCUGGUAGAAACACAAAAACACAGCAGAAAUUGUGAAUUUGUUUAUGUCUCUUGAGGUAAUUUCGGAUUUCUGGAACCACCAUCCUGAAUUAUCACUGGCCGUCAUUUCUACAUUCAGGUCCUGAACAGGGACACCACGAAGAUACACUGUCCAGUCCCAUCUGGCCUGUGGGCACUUGUACCUCCUCUUCUGAUUUAUCCACAUCUCACAUGUGGUCACCUUCACCUCUGUACCUGCAGUGGGCUGGACACACACACACACAGAAACACACACAAGCACAGGUGACACAAACAUGCGUGUACACACAUAUAUGCGAGGCACAGGGACACAAAUGCAAACAGGGGAAGCAGGUGUCUCAGUAGCUGAGGACAGCUGUGUCCAACAGUUUAGGAGAUAGUCAGCAGGCACCACGUCCUGCCAUUUUGGGAUACCCCUCCCCACAGCUCUUCAGUAUUAUCCCCAACCAGCCUGAAGAUGUUUCCAGUGCUACCUGUGUGGGGAUGGUGAGAGGCCAAGCAGUGGAUAUAGAAAUUCAGAGAAGACCCCAAAGUCAGCACAAAAAUGCAAUGAAACACCAGAGAGAAAGCCCUACCAAAGAGGGGCUGGAAGGAAGAGCCAGGGGAUCUCAAUCUCAAUGAGCAGCAGAACGCCUGGGAGUGGCAAGCCCCAGGGAAGGAUGAUUCUGACAAAGGUGCUUAAUUCACCCUGCCUCUAUCAGAAUCACCUAGGACUCUCAUGCUGUAACCACAGCUGCUUUGAGUGAGACUUUGUUCACUCAUGCACACAUUAAGUCCCCAAGCCUCCAGUCUCAGCCUGUCACUUGCUACUUGCCUGACACAAAUCCAAGCUCCACAGCCAUCAUGCAUGAGCCUGAGCAUCCCCAUUUGUGAAAAGACAGUGUCCUGGCAUCUACAUAGCUGUCCCUUCAGGGCCCACCUCCUCAUAAUCCAUGUUUCUGUCAGUUACCUCUCAUGGCAUGGAUCUUCCCCCUGGGGUAGUACUGCAGGGGAUCGAACCACAGGACUUCACUGAUGAUUUACUGGCAACACAAGCGAGGUCAGCAUAGGGCUGACCAGACCCCAAACCCUUCUGUGAGCAGCCAAGAACUCCAUAGUCAAUCACCAAUUUGGAGGAGGCUCAGUGCGACCCCACCUCAGCAACGCUCAGUCAGCUGAUAGCCUUAUGGGAGUCCUCUGACAUAAUUCCUUUUCUCUUUCUCUUUAACUUUCCAUUUAAUUUUGAGGCGUCUUGGAUUGCAUCUAUGAUCAUCCUUAUGGGACCCUCUGCUCUUUCUCUACCUGGAUAUCUAAGUUUGUUUCCAUCUUCAGGCUUUGGGACUUUUCAGCCAUAAUUGUAUCUAUAUAUUAUCAACUGCUUUUUCUCUCUCCACCUCUCUGAAACCCCCAAUAUUGGAAUGUUUUUGCCCUUGAUGUUGCCCCAGAAAUCCCUUAAACUGUUCUUAAUUUUUAAAUUUGUUCAUACUUUUGUUGUUCUGAUUGGGCUUAUAUAGUUUUCUUUGUCUCAAAAGAGGUGUAAGAAAAUGCAUGGGUAAUAAUGUUUUUCUUCAGCUCUACACAUCCAACAAUAUGGAGUAGGAAAUGGCAACCCACUCCAAUUUUCCACCUGGAAAAUCUCAUGGACAGAGGAGCCUGGUGGUCUACACUUCAGGGGUUGCAAAGAUUUGACAAGACUGAGCAAACAUACACACUUCUAACCUAGGCAGACACACACAUGAAGGCGACAGAACCUGAGACGUGGAGCAGUUGGAAGAGGAGGCACAAGUCAUCCACAGACGAGGGGAGAAUGGUCCAUGCAUCUCCUCAGUGGCCCUGUCCAGGGCAGGAAUGAGGAAAGAAUGGCCGAUGACAACUCAAGACAGUGGGUCCACUAAUCUGGAAUGAUAUCAGGAGACAUAAACAAGCUCACUAUU